GGAUAAGUGGUAGAGAGGCCGAAUACACUUCCCUGCUAAGGAAGCAUCCGGGCAUAAACCUGGAUCGUGGGUUCAAAUCCCACCUUGUCCG
This 91-nucleotide transfer RNA is filed under the name Streptobacillus moniliformis DSM 12112. It matches the Rfam family "tRNA". From Rfam's summary of the family: Transfer RNA (tRNA) molecules are approximately 80 nucleotides in length. Their secondary structure includes four short double-helical elements and three loops (D, anti-codon, and T loops). Lineage: Bacteria; Fusobacteriati; Fusobacteriota; Fusobacteriia; Fusobacteriales; Leptotrichiaceae. The record is from Rfam by way of RNAcentral.